RNAcentral lists this ribosomal RNA (425 nucleotides) under uncultured bacterium. RNAcentral's name for it is "partial 16S ribosomal RNA". It matches the Rfam family "Bacterial small subunit ribosomal RNA", at positions 354 to 796 of the family's 1533-position model. The record is from RNAcentral.
GUGGGGAAUCUUAGACAAUGGGGGCAACCCUGAUCUAGCCAUGCCGCGUGAUCGAUGAAGGCCUUAGGGUUGUAAAGAUCUUUCAGCUGGGAAGAUAAUGACGGUACCAGCAGAAGAAGCCCCGGCUAACUCCGUGCCAGCAGCCGCGGUAAUACGGAGGGGGCUAGCGUUGUUCGGAAUUACUGGGCGUAAAGCGCACGUAGGCGGAUUGAAAAGUUGGGGGUGAAAUCCCGGGGCUCAACCUCGGAACUGCCUCCAAAACUAUCAGUCUUGAGUUCGAGAGAGGUGAGUGGAAUUCCGAGUGUAGAGGUGAAAUUCGUAGAUAUUCGGAGGAACACCAGUGGCGAAGGCGGCUCACUGGCUCGAUACUGACGCUGAGGUGCGAAAGCGUGGGGAGCAAACAGGAUUAGAUACCCGGGUAGUCC